GUGGAUGGGAGAAUGCCCAUGUAUUUGUGUAUGUAUAAACAAGAUAAAAUGGCUACUUCACUCCUACUGAAACCAAACCGAAAGAGCAGUUCACCUGCCUCUAUUGCUGUCCCAGAAGUGUGCCAUGGAUACUGCAAACAGAUUGCAUAUAGUGUCUAUCAUUCCUGGAGUGUCUUAUUACCCAUGCUUCAGAUAUGCAGUGUAAAGAUUCAGGACUAUCUCUGCUUCUGCCACUGGCUGCUGUCUCAGCCUCCUCAUUUGAAAGAAAAGACUGCUUCUCUGUGGCUGUUUUUCUUUUCUGCUGAGUCAUUCUGUCAGCACAUAAAUUCCUACUGGAUAUGA
This 342-nucleotide long non-coding RNA is filed under the name Chrysemys picta bellii (western painted turtle). RNAcentral describes it as "lncRNA (ENSCPBG00000016457.1)". The record is from RNAcentral. Lineage: Eukaryota; Metazoa; Chordata; Testudines; Emydidae.